This 383-nucleotide ribosomal RNA is filed under the name uncultured archaeon. Its description in RNAcentral is "bacterial SSU rRNA". It matches the Rfam family "Archaeal small subunit ribosomal RNA", at positions 480 to 859 of the family's 1478-position model. The record is from RNAcentral.
CAGUUCAAGUGGCAUCCAACUUUAUUGGGUCUAAAACAUCCGUAGCUUGCUAUUUAAGUCUCUUGUGAAAUCCAACGUCUCAAGCGUUGGGCUGGCAGGAGAUACUGAAUAGCUAGAGAUCGGUAGACGUAAGGAGUACGGCGAAGGUAGUGGUAAAAUACGUUAAUCUUCGUUGGACUAACAAUUUAGGCGAAGGCACCUUACGAGGACGAAUCUGACAGUGAGGGAUGAAGGCCAGGGGCGCAAAACGGAUUAGAUACCCGUGUAGUCCUGGCUAGUAAACACUGCUCACUAAACAUCGGGCCCUCUUCGGGAGGAUUCGGUGCUGAAGCGAAGGCGAAGAGUGAGCUACCUGGGAAGUAUANUCGCAGGUUGAAACUUAA